AUCGCCACCACCGACAGCCACCCAACUACAACAUCACCACCACCCGAAUCCAAGUUCCAAUCUAAUCACGUCUGAUUCCUCUAGCCAUUUUGAAACCAUAGAGCUGGCUGCAGCAGGAGUACAGCAGAAUCACGUUGUUGACUGUGCCUGAUCCACUCAAAACCCAAAUUCCUCUCUGCCUCCUCCUUGCAUAAAGGAACACCGCCUAAAAAAAUCCCACCUAUAGCUGACUCCCAAUAUGUGAGCUCUAAGCAUAUUCGUGCUCUUUUAUGUUAUGAUAACCGAUGAUUUUGCCCUGUUUUUGGAGCUCGGUGGACGGCCUCUUAACCUAAAUGCCACCACAUUGCCUGAACUUGUAUUGGAGGUGAUUAGGUCAAAUCCUUGAUGCAUAUUGUCUUUGUUUUCACCAAAAAAUGAACCUUCUGCUUCCAAUUGCAAGCAAUCUGUGAUCAUUCGACAGAAUGCAAGGACCAAGGAGAGACGAUGACAGUGAUGGUGGAACCAGAUCGAACAAUAGAACAAGAGUCAAUAAUUGUUGUUUUCAACUUUGAAAAAUCCAUUCCAAAACUCUGAUUUAUGUUGAUAUCUUUAUAGGACUUCAUCUGUUGAUUUUUGGUGGAUUAGUCAUGUGUUGUUUUGUAGUGGAAAAGAUUUGGGACUGUGACGGUUAUGAUGUUAAUGUGAUCUAUUUUUCUGCUACAGUAACGGCUUGGGGUGGCUAUCGGCGGUGGCAAUUAGGUGGACUGGUUUUGGAGCUGAGGG
Molecule: long non-coding RNA, 762 nt
Filed under: Olea europaea subsp. europaea
Lineage: Eukaryota; Viridiplantae; Streptophyta; Magnoliopsida; Lamiales; Oleaceae
Source: RNAcentral